UCCGGCUUGACGCCGGCAGUCCCCCGAGAGUCCUCAGCUUUACCUGUUAGUAACACGGGGCAAGGGUUGCGCUCGUUGCGGGACUUAACCCAACAUCUCACGACACGAGCUGACGGCAGCCAUGCAGCACCUGUGCACGUGUCCCGAAGGAGGCCCCUGCUUUCACAGGGGUUUCACGUGCAUGUCAAACCCAGGUAAGGUUCUUCGCGUUGCUUCGAAUUAAACCACAUGCUCCACCGCUUGUGCGGGCCCCCGUCAAUUCCUUUGAGUUUCAGCCUUGCGGCCGUACUCCCCAGGCGGGGCACUUAAUGCGUUAGCUUCGACACCGAAUCCGUCUAUAGACCCGGCAUCUAGUGCCCAUCGUUUACAGCGUGGACUAC
RNAcentral lists this unclassified non-coding RNA (380 nucleotides) under uncultured Gemmatimonadota bacterium. Its description in RNAcentral is "uncultured Gemmatimonadetes bacterium contains 16S-23S intergenic spacer region". Lineage: Bacteria; Pseudomonadati; Gemmatimonadota. The record is from RNAcentral.